This 301-nucleotide ribosomal RNA is filed under the name uncultured bacterium. RNAcentral's name for it is "partial 16S ribosomal RNA". It matches the Rfam family "Bacterial small subunit ribosomal RNA", at positions 509 to 807 of the family's 1533-position model. The record is from RNAcentral.
CAGUAGCCACGGGAAUACGUAGGUGGCAAGCGUUGUCCGGAAUUAUUGGGCGUAAAGGGCUCGCAGGCGGUUUCUUAAGUUUGAUGUGAAAGCCCCCGGCUCAACCGGGGAGGGUCAUUGGAAACUGGGAAACUUGAGUGCAGAAGAGGAGAGUGGAAUUCCACGUGUAGCGGUGAAAUGCGUAGAGAUGUGGAGGAACACCAGUGGCGAAGGCGACUCUCUGGUCUGUAACUGACGCUGAGGAGCGAAAGCGUGGGGAGCGAACAGGAUUAGAUACCCCCGUAGUCCCUGUCUCUUAUAC